CCUUCCUCCAGCUGCCACUUAGAAGUGUAAACAGGAGCCAGUAACAGGAGAAACUGGUGUCUGGAAUCUGAGCGAAAGUGGUCCGAAAGUCAAGGACUAGCCCGGCCAAGGAGAGACCACAGAGGCUUGGGACCAUGUACCUGCAUACUAAGGUUUCUGAGGCCCUACUAUGUGUACAGCACAGUGGUGGACUCUUGAGGGACACGAAGAUGACUAAGACACAGUCGCAGCCUUUCAGCAGCUUCUAAUCCAUUAGGGGAUAUGAGGCAAGUGUACCGCGACCACCACACCAGGACUCAGGUGCAGAUUGCACACCUGAAGGGAAGUGAGGUUGGAGCUGCAAGAGGUGUCACUGUCGAUGGAGACUCACACCUUUGCCCAGGCUGGAGUGCAGUGGCGGGAUCUCAGCUCACUUCAAGCUUCACCUCCCG
This 431-nucleotide long non-coding RNA is filed under the name Homo sapiens (human). RNAcentral describes it as "HSALNT0136596". Lineage: Eukaryota; Metazoa; Chordata; Mammalia; Primates; Hominidae. The record is from RNAcentral.